This 424-nucleotide ribosomal RNA is filed under the name uncultured prokaryote. Its description in RNAcentral is "bacterial SSU rRNA". It matches the Rfam family "Bacterial small subunit ribosomal RNA", at positions 355 to 796 of the family's 1533-position model. The record is from RNAcentral.
UGGGGAAUUUUGGACAAUGGGGGAAACCCUGAUCCAGCAAUGCCGCGUGAGUGAUGAAGGCCUUAGGGUUGUAAAGCUCUUUUACCCGGGAUGAUAAUGACAGUACCGGGAGAAUAAGCUCCGGCUAACUCCGUGCCAGCAGCCGCGGUAAUACGGAGGGAGCUAGCGUUGUUCGGAAUUACUGGGCGUAAAGCGCGCGUAGGCGGACUAUUAAGUCAGGGGUGAAAUCCCGGGGCUCAACCUCGGAAUUGCCUUUGAUACUGGUAGUCUAGAGUCCGUGAGAGGUGAGUGGAACUCCGAGUGUAGAGGUGAAAUUCGUAGAUAUUCGGAAGAACACCAGUGGCGAAGGCGGCUCACUGGCACGGUACUGACGCUGAGGUGCGAAAGCGUGGGGAGCAAACAGGAUUAGAUACCCCUGUAGUCC